Long non-coding RNA from Physella acuta, 382 nucleotides. RefSeq lists it as uncharacterized. The record is from RefSeq and is a predicted model, not a curated record. NCBI's taxonomy places the organism in Eukaryota, Metazoa, Mollusca, Gastropoda, Physidae.
ACUGGCUAUUCGUUAAUAACGGGAAAUUUGUUUUCAGGACGCCAUCUUAGCUGUUUAUUCAUUGAAAAACGGGAAAUUUAAAUUUAGGAAGCCAUCUUUGUGGACCAAAAAAAGUACGAAGUAUCGAUACCAUAACGAUUACCUGGCAGACGGCCACAUCAGGACGACUGGAAUUGCGUUUCAUGCGUGGCGCUAUUUUCGAAUUUCUGCUUCGCUUUGAAAACAUUGGCUGGGGUAAAGGAAGUAGAGUUGGCAUGUCUAUCUCAUCGUGGAUUCAUAAAGGAAGAAACAUAAAAAUCUACAUAUCCCUUGACGGGGAUCUUCACAGCCUCCGAGAGACCCCUGGAGGAUUCCGUAUACCUUGUCCCUGGGGGUGGGUCAG